Molecule: long non-coding RNA, 1282 nt
Organism: Coccinella septempunctata (seven-spotted ladybird)
Lineage: Eukaryota; Metazoa; Arthropoda; Insecta; Coleoptera; Coccinellidae
Exons: 2
Source: RefSeq, a predicted model, not a curated record
CCUCUACAAUCUUCUAUUUAUUAAUAGAAAAGUUCAGAAGGUAGAAUUUCGGCAUUUCCUGACUUUUUAGAUGUAAUGAACCAGAUUUAUCAUAAUAGAAUUGAAUCAAUGCAUUUUUUGGAUAUAGUGAAGAAAAUAAGACAAUUCUGAUGCUGCUUCAAGAUCAAACUAUCGAAGGGAUAUUUUUGUUUUGAAAAAUUCUGGUAAAAUCCCAAAUUUGAGUUGUCGUCCUAUAAAUCCGAAGACUGAAACUUUACCAGUUACAAGUGAUAGAUACAUAUGUAAUGAUAAUCAAUUAAAACCCAAUAAAUGCAAGUUUGUGAUUGAAGAACAAUUAAAUUGCAAUCGAAAUAGUCUGCUUACGCACUUUUACAGUGCAAAUUAGUUCAAUUAUGUUGAUUCACAGGGAUUCAAAUAAUGACCCAUUGUAAGCAUAAUACAAAUCGGGAAUAGCUGAGAUAAAGGCGAGGAUAAAAGUUAUCAACAUUUUUGCUGAUUUGAUCAGAACCUAGAUGAUAAGCAAAGAAUGAUUAAACCUUUUCAGAGCGCAAUUCUUACUAACAUCGGUGAGAAUAAGUAUUUAACGCUUUAGACAAGGUAACCGGAAAUUCAAAACAAAUUAUAGACACGAUUUCAAAUGAAUAGGGAAUGAACCGAUCCCGAGAAUGGAAUAAUUGAUUAAAAUCAAAACACGUGCUGUAUCGAAUAAUUGUAUUAUGGGUUGCCUAAAAUUAAAGAUGCCAUUCAACUCUUGGGAGCGCUGAAUGUACAAUGUACAGAAUUUUCAACUAAUUUAGGUUUUCUCUUUCGCUUUGUCAAUUAUAAAAGUAUAAAUUGUAAUGAAAUUAUACAGUUAUUGUUAAUGUAUACGGUAUUCAAAAAAUGUUUCAAAUUAAAUUUUAUUAUUAAUCAUGAUUGACAACACUGCUUUAUUUGACAGAUUAAAUUUAAUUCUGUCAUUGCUCUUAUAAAUCGGUUCACUGAAAAUUGAAAGAAAAGCAAUGAAAAGGGUACAAUGAUUUUUAUGAUUCAUGCUGUUUAAAGUUCAAUUUAAUUGUACAGAUCGUAAUUCAAGAAGCAUCCUUGGCAUUCCACAUUUGCAAUUCGAUCAUAUCACUUAUUUGUAAUAAAUACUCACGCUUACUUAAUCAAAUUCGAAAAUUACAUGGAAUAUUCUUGAAUAAACUGAGAGAUAUCCUAAUAAGAUUACGGAAAUAAAAACAUGCAUAAACAAUGGAAAAGAACAUUGACAUUUAAACCGCCCAUUUAAAUGAUAACAAUG